CAAAUGGGCCUGGAGUUCGAAUUCCUCGACUUCUCCCAGCCUCAGAGCAGGUGCAACACAGCCCAUAGCCUACAACCCUCCCUUCAAAGGAUUCAUUAAUAUUGUUCAACUCUGAUCUGGCUAGAUCAGCUCUGGGGACAAAAGGGGAAUGGAGUCUCCAUGGCCAAUUCACUCCUUGGCCUCC
This 184-nucleotide small RNA is filed under the name Chrysemys picta bellii (western painted turtle). RNAcentral describes it as "TUC338 (ENSCPBG00000006141.1)". Lineage: Eukaryota; Metazoa; Chordata; Testudines; Emydidae. The record is from RNAcentral.